RNAcentral lists this ribosomal RNA (585 nucleotides) under uncultured bacterium. RNAcentral's name for it is "partial 16S ribosomal RNA". It matches the Rfam family "Bacterial small subunit ribosomal RNA", at positions 355 to 1375 of the family's 1533-position model. The record is from RNAcentral.
UGGGGAAUUUUGGACAAUGGGCGAAAGCCUGAUCCAGCAAUGCCGCGUGUGUGAAGAAGGCCUUCGGGUUGUAAAGCACUUUUGUCCGGAAAGAAAUCCUUGGCUCUAAUACAGUCGGGGGAUGACGGUACCGGAAGAAUAAGCACCGGCUAACUACGUGCCAGCAGCCGCGGUAAUACGUAGGGUGCAAGCGUUAAUCGGAAUUACUGGGCGUAAGCGUGCGCAGGCGGUUUGCUAAGACCGAUGUGAAAUCCCCGGGCUCAACCUGGGAACUGCAUUGGUGACUGGCAGGCUAGAGUAUGGCAGAGGGGGGUAGAAUUCCGCGUGUAGCAGUGAAAUGCGUAGAGAUGUGGAGGAAUACCGAUGGCGAAGGCAGCCCCCUGGGCAAUACUGACGCUCAUGCACGAAAGCGUGGGGAGCAAAACAGGAUUAGAUACCCUGGUAGUCCACGCCCUAAAACGAUGUCAACUAGUUGUUGGGGAUUCAUUUCCUUAGUAACGUAGCUAACGCGUGAAGUUGACCGCCUGGGGAGUACGGUCGCAAGAUUAAAACUCAAAUGAAUUGACGGGGUCAUAGCUGUUUCCU